GACGAACGCUGGCGGCGUGCUUAACACAUGCAAGUCGAGCGGUAAGGCUCCUUCGGGAGUACACGAGCGGCGAACGGGUGAGUAACACGUGAGCAAUCUGCCCUUCACUUUGGGAUAACUCCGGGAAACCGGUGCUAAUACCGAAUACGACCACCGAUGGCAUCAUCUGGUGGUGGAAAGUUCCGGUGGUGAGGGAUGAGCUCGCGGCCUAUCAGCUUGUUGGUGGGGUAAUGGCCCACCAAGGCAACGACGGGUAGCCGGCCUGAGAGGGUGACCGGCCACACUGGGACCGAGACACGGCCCAGACUCCUACGGGAGGCAGCAGUGGGGAAUAUUGGACAAUGGGCGAAAGCCUGAUCCAGCAACGCCGCGUGA
Molecule: ribosomal RNA, 375 nt
Filed under: uncultured bacterium
Lineage: Bacteria
Description: bacterial SSU rRNA
Rfam family: Bacterial small subunit ribosomal RNA
Source: RNAcentral